RNAcentral lists this long non-coding RNA (1261 nucleotides) under Monodelphis domestica (gray short-tailed opossum). RNAcentral's name for it is "lncRNA (ENSMODG00000044387.1)". Lineage: Eukaryota; Metazoa; Chordata; Mammalia; Didelphimorphia; Didelphidae. The record is from RNAcentral.
CCAGAAUGAGGAGAGAAAGACGGACCCUCCUGGAGGGACUGAGGUCGUAGCUGCCCUUCUCUGGGGGAGCAGAACAAGAGUUCCUUCAAGGUGGGGGCUGCAACUGCAAAGAGCACUAAUCAGGAGGAUUAAGAAAUUGAGAUGAUGCUCCCCUCCUCUCCAAAUCCUGACUCCCUCUUCUCUACCACCUCUGGCUGCAGCACCUCACUCAAAGUGAUGAGGACUCUUUUUCGGCUGGUUCUAUUAACCUACAUAUUAUGAUCCAGGACAAUUCUUCAAGACUCAUGACAAAGAAUGUUACUCCUCUCCAAAGAAAGAACUGUUGGGAUCAGAAGACAGAUGAAAUCAUAUGAAUUUUCAGUAGUUUAUUUGGGUUUGUGUUUAGGGGUUUUGGUUUUAUAAAAUUACAUACUUACAAAAAUGACAAUAUGGAAAUGUGUAAAAAUGAUAAUACAUGUAAAACCCAGAUUGAAUUGCCUACCAGUAUCAGAAGGGAGGAGGGGAAGGAAGUAGGGAGAUAAGUUUGAUCAUAUAACUUAGGAAAACUUGUUUGAAAAUUUAUCACAUGUAAUUGAUAAUUUUUUUUAAAAGCAGUGUCCCUUAGUGGAUAGAAUCAGCUUUAUAAUCAGAAAGACCUAGGUUUAAGUUCUGUCUCUGAAAUGUUAGCUACAUGACCCUGGCUAAGUGAUUUACCUUCUUAGAGUCCCAUGUGACUCUCAAGGACUGUAAACUUCACAAUAGUUGCCAGAUCAAAGACCUGCCUAGAUCUCAAUUUCCCCAGCUGUAAAAUGAGGCAGUUGAAAUAAGAGAUAGAAAGGUUCACAGGAGAGAAACUACACACUUUUAUUUAUAUCAAAUUUAAAAGUUUAUGCACAAGCAAAACCAAAGAGGCCCAAAUUGGAAGAGAUGGAAGUAGCUGGGUAGCUCAGUGGAUUGAGAGUCUCUAGACAGAAGGUCCUAGGUUCAAGUCUGGCCUCAGACACUUCCCAGCUGCGUGACCCUGGGCAAGUCACUUGACCCCCAUUGCCUAGCCCUUACCACUCUUCUGCCUUGGAGCCAAUACACAGUAUUGGCUUCAAGACAGAAGGUAAAGGUUUAAAAAAAAAAAGAAACAAAAUUGGAAGAGAUUAGUUGAAGAAACAUCUUUAACAAGAGUUCCCCACACCUAUUAAUUUAUAGGUCUGAUUAAAAAAGUUUAAAAAAUAUCAUUAUCUAAGGUAGAGGCUCUUAGCCUCUUUUGUUUCAUAGUCUCCUUUGGCUU